GGUCUGGCAGGGCGGUCCGCCUACAAGCGAGUACUGCCGUGCCAGGCCUUCCUUCUGGCUAGCCAGUCUGCCUUUAACCGGGUGGGCUGGGGAUCCAGGACUUUUACUUUGAAAAAAUUAGAGUGUUUAAAGCAGGCCUACGCUUGAAUACAUUAGCAUGGAAUAAUAGAAUAGGACUUU
This 180-nucleotide ribosomal RNA is filed under the name uncultured Glomeromycotina. Its description in RNAcentral is "partial small subunit ribosomal RNA". The stretch from base 88 to 180 matches the Rfam family "Eukaryotic small subunit ribosomal RNA", at positions 736 to 831 of the family's 1831-position model. Lineage: Eukaryota; Fungi; Glomeromycota. The record is from RNAcentral.